This 464-nucleotide ribosomal RNA is filed under the name uncultured bacterium. RNAcentral describes it as "bacterial SSU rRNA". It matches the Rfam family "Bacterial small subunit ribosomal RNA", at positions 32 to 508 of the family's 1533-position model. The record is from RNAcentral.
AAUCAACGCUGGCGGCGUGCCUAACACAUGCAAGUCGAACGAGAAAGUGGAGCAAUCCAUGAGUAAAGUGGCGACCGGGUGAGUAACACGUGACCAAUCUACCCUUGAGUGGGGGAUAACCUCGGGAAACCGGGGCUAAUACCGCAUAAAAUCUUCGGAUCGGAAGAACUGGAGAUCAAAGGAGCAAUUCGCUUAAGGAGGAGGUCGCGGCUGAUUAGCUAGUUGGCGGGGUAAUGGCCCACCAAGGCGAAGAUCGGUAGCCGGCCUGAGAGGGCGCACGGCCACACUGGAACUGAAACACGGUCCAGACUCCUACGGGAGGCAGCAGUGGGGAAUUUUGCGCAAUGGGGGAAACCCUGACGCAGCAACGCCGCGUGGAGGAUGAAGUCCCUUGGGACGUAAACUCCUUUCGACCCGGACGAUAAUGACGGUACGGGUGGAAGAAGCCCCGGCUAACUUCGUGC